Long non-coding RNA from Mus musculus (house mouse), 1539 nucleotides. RefSeq annotates it as predicted gene, 41979. NCBI's taxonomy places the organism in Eukaryota, Metazoa, Chordata, Mammalia, Rodentia, Muridae. The record is from RefSeq and is a predicted model, not a curated record. The transcript has 3 exons.
CUGGACCUUGCUUUAAAAAAAAGUGAAGAUUCUUUAGAAUUUGUCUCGCUUUAUGUCCACCUGUCUGUCCAUCCCCAACUCUCCCUAGCCUCUUCCCUGUAUCUUCCUCCAUCAACCUCUUCCUUCCAACAAUUCAACCUUAUGUAGGAUUUGUUUGCUUUGUUACCCAGCAGGCAUUUCCACAUCCCCCUGCUUCCUUACUCACAACCCCCUAGGACAGGCCCACUACCUCUUUAGUGGACAAUUCAUCCUUCUCAACGAAGCCCCCGUUACUCCUACCGGCAACCUCCAAGACACGGGAGCCUCCCCUUCCACGGGUCAAGCUGUACCAUUUGCCCCAAGCUCCAACCUUCCAAUCACUUAGUCUGCCUACCCAACCUCUGUCCUCACUCACCUCAUGAUUCCUGUGCAGUCAUCUAGCAAGAUGCUUGGCAUGUACUAAGCAUUCAGCAAAUACCCGUUGAAUGAGAAAUGAGCUAAUGGACUUGUCUGCAAGCAAAUGAGGCCAUGACUGAAUCUAGAUGGCUGGGAAGGAGCAGCCUGGGCUCAGGACGAUCUGCUGUCUACUUCUAAAGUGGCUCACUCUUCUUCAGCAACUGGACAUUCUCAGUAGUGGGAUCAUCCCUGGAUUGUUUAAGAAUGUGUCUGUGUGUGGGAAGGGAAGGGUCGUUGUAAGCUGCGAAUGUUCAUUUGAAAACUAAGUGCGUGCUAGUCUUCCCUGGACGGACUUUAAAGGGAAUUUAUCCGUGCUUAAAAUCAGAUCGGUUGGGACAUGAAGUGUCCCACCAAAGAGAGAGAGAGAGAGAGAGAGAGAGAGAGAGAGAGAGAGAGAGAGAGAGAGAGAGAGAGAGAGAGAGAGAGAGAGACUUUGGCUCCCAGCUGCCAAUGCAAUUGAGAGAGGAUUGUGCUGUCAGUGGACUAAUCCACUGGGCUAGGAGGUGGGGCAUGGUUGGAAGAAGAACUAUCACAGGGCAAGGUAGAAGCACUUUGAAGGGUAAACCUUGCCCUAGCUCCUUCCUGUCUGCCUUUCUCUUCUUCCUGUCCACACAAUGUAAACAUAUUUUCUUUGCCCAGCCAUUUUACUGUAAUGUUUCUGCUUUGCCAUUUUACCACAAUGUCUCUGCUUUGCCACAGGCCGGAGAGCCACUGGGCUAGCCAAGCUUUAACAGCUGUGAGACUUUCUCUCAGAGUAUGUCCUGGUUGUAUCAUGAUACUUCAAGGCUUUCCCACACCCCUCACCCCCUCCACACACAUUCCCCCACCCCCAGGCUGUUCUGAGCUCUACAUCUUAGCAGGAACUCCCACACUCCUAGCCUUCUCCCUGCAGGGAUCAUAUAUCUUGCUUUGUUGUGUGAGCUUUCUGUUCUACUAUGGACAUUUGACUUCCUUAAGUAGACUACUCUCUUUCAGAGAGGAGAUUUUCAUCUUUGUUCUCCCCUCAAUUUCUUAUUUUUGAAUCUUAGCACAGUGUUUGCACUUAUUCAAAAAAAAAAAAGCAAAACCAAAAACAUCCACACACCCUGCUCCCCGACAGAUACA